RNAcentral lists this small RNA (286 nucleotides) under Tropicibacter naphthalenivorans. Its description in RNAcentral is "5' ureB small RNA". It matches the Rfam family "5' ureB small RNA". Lineage: Bacteria; Pseudomonadati; Pseudomonadota; Alphaproteobacteria; Rhodobacterales; Roseobacteraceae. The record is from Rfam by way of RNAcentral.
CGUCAUCAAUCUGUUGCGGGCAGAUAAAGUGAAUGUGGCUGUCCAUCCCGCCCGCGGUCAGAAUGCGCCCCUCGCCGGCAAUCGCCUCGGUCCCCGGACCGACAAUGAUGUUCACGCCGGGCUGCGUAUCGGGGUUGCCCGCCUUGCCGAUCUUGUGGAUACGCCCGUUUUUCAGACCCACGUCGGCCUUAUAGAUCCCGGUCCAGUCGACAAUCAAAGCGUUGGUGAUCACGGUGUCCACCGCCCCAUCGGCGCGCGUCACCUGAGACUGGCCCAUGCCGUCGCG